GGAGAUAGCUGGUUCUCCUCGAAAUAGCUUUAGGGCUAGCCUCGUAUUAGUCUAGUGGAGGUAGAGCACUGAAUUUCCUAGGGGGCGUCAAAGCCUACCGAAGAAUAUCAAACUCCGAAUGCCAUAUAGAUGAUGUACGGGAGUCAGACUGCACGAGAUAAGUUGGGUGGUCAAAAGGGAAAGAGCCCAGACCUCCGGCUAAGGUCCCAAAGUGCGUGUUAAGUGGAAAAGGAUGUGGGAUUUCGAAGACAACCAGGAUGUUGGCUCAGAAGCAGCCAUACAUUCAAAGAGUGCGUAAUAGCUCACUGGUCGAGAGGUCCUGCGCCGAAAAUGUCCGGGGCUGAAACACGACACCGAAGCUGAGGAAUCCUAAGGGAUUGGUAGAGGAGCAUUGCAUACGCGAUGAAGCAGUACCGUAAGGAGCUGUGGAGUGUAUGGAAGAGAGAAUGCCGGAAUGAGUAGCGAGAGGAAGGUGGGAAUCCUUCCGGCCGAAUAUCCAAGGUUUCCAGAGUAAAGCUGAUCUGCUCUGGGUAAGUCGGGGCCUAAGGCCAGGUCGAAAGACGUAGCCGAUGGACAACAGGUUGAGAUUCCUGUACUGCGAUAUGACAGAACUGUGGGGACGCAUGUGGAAAGCAUAAGCACGGAAUGGAAAGCCGUGUACAAGCGAGGUAGGAGUCAUGUAGGAAAAWCCGCGUGGCAAUCCGAAGACGUGAUGUGGACCGAACUUUCAGUAGGGAAGUAUGUGAGCCAUGUGCCGGGAAAAGCCGCUAUUGUUCAUACCGCACCCGUACCGUAAACCGACACAGGUGGAUGAGGAGAGAAUCCUAAGGCCGACGGAAGAAGCAUUGUUAAGGAACUCGGCAAAAUAGCCCCGUAACUUCGGGAGAAGGGGUGCCUGGAAACAGGCCGCAGAGAAUUGGCCCAAGCAACUGUUUAGCAAAAACACAGGUCUAUGCGAAACCGAAAGGUGAGGUAUAUGGGCUGACGCCUGCCCGGUGCUGGAAGGUUAAGAGGAGAGCUUAGCGCAAGCGAAGGUUUGAAUUUAAGCCCCAGUAAACGGCGGCCGUAACUAUAACGGUCCUAAGGUAGCGAAAUUCCUUGUCGGGUAAGUUCCGACCCGCACGAAAGGCGUAAUGAUUUGGGCGCUGUCUCGACAAUGCAUCCGGUGAAAUUGAAGUACCAGUGAAGAUGCUGGUUACCUGCGCCAGGACGGAAAGACCCCAUGGAGCUUUACUCCAGCUUGACACUGGGAUUCGGUAAUGCAUGUACAGGAUAGGUGGGAGGCAAUGAAAUAGGGACGCCAGUUUCUAUGGAGCCGCUGUUGGGAUACCACCCUUGCGUUAUUGGGUUUCUAACCUGCCGCCGU
This 1366-nucleotide ribosomal RNA is filed under the name metagenome. Its description in RNAcentral is "bacterial LSU rRNA". It matches the Rfam family "Bacterial large subunit ribosomal RNA", at positions 842 to 2236 of the family's 2925-position model. The record is from RNAcentral.